RNAcentral lists this transfer RNA (77 nucleotides) under Massilia scottii. RNAcentral's name for it is "tRNA-Cys". It matches the Rfam family "tRNA". Rfam says of the family: Transfer RNA (tRNA) molecules are approximately 80 nucleotides in length. Their secondary structure includes four short double-helical elements and three loops (D, anti-codon, and T loops). Further hydrogen bonds mediate the characteristic L-shaped molecular structure. tRNAs have two regions of fundamental functional importance: the anti-codon, which is responsible for specific mRNA codon recognition, and the 3' end, to which the tRNAs corresponding amino acid is attached (by aminoacyl-tRNA synthetases). tRNAs cope with the degeneracy of the genetic code in two manners: having more than one tRNA (with a specific anti-codon) for a particular amino acid; and 'wobble' base-pairing, i.e. permitting non-standard base-pairing at the 3rd anti-codon position. The record is from RNAcentral. Lineage: Bacteria; Pseudomonadati; Pseudomonadota; Betaproteobacteria; Burkholderiales; Oxalobacteraceae.
GUGGGGUUGCCCGAGUGGUCAAAGGGCGCAGGCUGCAAACCUGUUGUUCGCCGGUUCGAAUCCGGCACCCCACUCCA